GUACACGCUGUGACUAGCAUAUCAAUAAGCGGAGGAAAAGAAACUAACAGGGAUUCCCCUAGUAACGGCGAGUGAAGCGGGAAGAGCUCAAAUUUGAAAUCUUAAAGGGUUUCCCUUUACGAAUUGUAGUUUAAAGAAGUGUUUUCUGUUGAGGCUUUGGUAAAAGUUCUUUGGAAUAGGACAUCAUAGAGGGUGAGAAUCCCGUAUUUGACCUUUACUUUCAACUUUGUGAUACACUUUCAAAGAGUCGGAUUGUUUGGGAAUGCAGUCCAAAAUGGGUGGUAAAUUUCAUCUAAAGCUAAAUAUUGGCGAGAGACCGAUAGCGAACAAGUACCGUGAGGGAAAGAUGAAAAGAACUUUGAAAAGAGAGUUAAACAGUACGUGAAAUUGUCAAAAGGGAAGCGUUUGACACCAGUGUUGUUUUUCUGAAAAUCAAUUAAAGAACUGUUUAUGCUAAGCUGUUUAGACUUUAUCAGCUAUCUGUUUAGUUUUGAGCUUUUCUUUAAUGCACUUUUCAGUUAACAAGUCAACAUCAAUUUCUUUUGCUGUAAAAAAGCUUGAGGAAGGUGGCUUGAGAUUCGUCUUAAGUGUUUAUAGCCUCUUGCCUAUGCAGUCGGAGAGAUUGAGGUCUGCAGCGUAGAUCCUUCGGGGCUAAAUGCAUUUGUGCUAAGUUAUAGCAUUUUAUAGACAACUUGUUGACUAUGAUUUGUCUUGUAGCUUACUCGCUUAUGUUAUUUUACCUACGCUUAGGAUGUUGACGAGACUGUCGAUCUC
Molecule: ribosomal RNA, 774 nt
Filed under: uncultured Neocallimastigales
Lineage: Eukaryota; Fungi; Neocallimastigomycota; Neocallimastigomycetes; Neocallimastigales
Description: partial large subunit ribosomal RNA
Rfam family: Eukaryotic large subunit ribosomal RNA
Source: RNAcentral